This is an unclassified non-coding RNA of Pongo abelii (Sumatran orangutan), 148 nucleotides long. It matches the Rfam family "Metazoan signal recognition particle RNA". Rfam says of the family: The signal recognition particle (SRP) is a universally conserved ribonucleoprotein. It is involved in the co-translational targeting of proteins to membranes. Lineage: Eukaryota; Metazoa; Chordata; Mammalia; Primates; Hominidae. The record is from Ensembl.
GCCGGGCAUGGUGGCGCCUGCCUGUAAUCCCAGCUACUCAGGAGGCUGAGGCAGGAGGAUUGCUUGAACCUGGGAGGCGGAGGUUGCAGUGAGCUGAGAUCUUGCCACUGCACUCCAGCCUGGGUGACAGAGUGAGACUUUGUCUCAA